RNAcentral lists this ribosomal RNA (470 nucleotides) under Streptomyces flavolimosus. RNAcentral describes it as "bacterial SSU rRNA". It matches the Rfam family "Bacterial small subunit ribosomal RNA", at positions 573 to 1042 of the family's 1533-position model. Lineage: Bacteria; Bacillati; Actinomycetota; Actinomycetes; Kitasatosporales; Streptomycetaceae. The record is from RNAcentral.
AGGCGGCUUGUCACGUCGGAUGUGAAAGCCCGGGGCUUAACCCCGGGUCUGCAUUCGAUACGGGCUAGCUAGAGUGUGGUAGGGGAGAUCGGAAUUCCUGGUGUAGCGGUGAAAUGCGCAGAUAUCAGGAGGAACACCGGUGGCGAAGGCGGAUCUCUGGGCCAUUACUGACGCUGAGGAGCGAAAGCGUGGGGAGCGAACAGGAUUAGAUACCCUGGUAGUCCACGCCGUAAACGUUGGGAACUAGGUGUUGGCGACAUUCCACGUCGUCGGUGCCGCAGCUAACGCAUUAAGUUCCCCGCCUGGGGAGUACGGCCGCAAGGCUAAAACUCAAAGGAAUUGACGGGGGCCCGCACAAGCAGCGGAGCAUGUGGCUUAAUUCAACGCAACGCGAAGAACCUUACCAAGGCUUGACAUAUACCGGAAAGCAUCAGAGAUGGUGCCCCCCUUGUGGUCAGUAUACAGGUGGU